CUGCACGAUUGAUCACUUGAUACAUUACGUCUCCAGAUCUAUCACUCCUUCUUUCAUGGCUUGCUAUCAUUCCACACUUAGGUACUGCUGCCGCUUUAGUGAGGCAAGGGGUGAACAAUGUCCUCGUAAGAGCCCUGGUUUUCAUUCAAGACAUUACCAAAACGAUUUAUUUCCAUAAGAAAUGACAGCUACAGUACAAAUAUCCUCUUUGUAGUUGAAAGAUAGCAGACACAGCUUUUUCUAUCGUACUCUACACUCAGCAGACGGGAAACUUUUCUAGGGCACAUAAAUUUCAAAUUGAGCAUUAAUAGAAGAAAAUGGUACCAAAAAAUACACAAGGACAAAAAUGUCAAUUGCUACAUGUAUGGUAACUGCUGAGUUACAGCCUGAACCACUGAUUGAGCACCUGGGGAAAAGAUCCAGUCAGCCCUGGAUUGCACAGAUUAAGGCAAUGCAUCUGUUAGACUUCAUUUAAGGGCUGACUGCCACUGAGGAAGAAUCCCUUUCUGGAGAUCCCUCCUUGGUGAAGCUUUCCCCUGUGAACCUGGAAUCUUCUUCCCUUCCUUUAUAUCACCUUUCUAUUGUGCUGGUCCUUCUGUCAUCACACCUUUAUUGCAACAGUUUUCCCAUCGUACUGAGUUGUCCAAUUACUACCCCAGACAACUUCAAAUACCGUGGAAUUAGUUUUUGUGUAAAUGUUUUGAUUUAGAACCCUAAAUUAACCAUCUGUUAUUGCUGAUGGAAAGAAAAAACUAUCAACAAAAGCAUGGGAGCACUGAAAUUGGUGGAACAUUGGAUUCCAGAAUGAAUAAGUGGGAGUUCUCCAUAAAAGGAGUGUUUAGAGGUAUGCCAAGUCAUAUACUUGUGUCUAGUCUAACUCUAAUAAGCAUUUAACGUUGCUGCUCAGACAUUGCCAUACUUCUGGCACAAUAUUGCAAGGCUCAUUGUUAAACCAGCAUUAAUGAGCUUAGCAUUAUAACGCAAAGUGAGGGAAACAAUAUCAUUAUAUGCCUUGAUUAUUCCUAUUACCCUAAUAUCUCAAACAUAUUCUAACGAUAAACUAUUCAGAUCAUAUGAAGAUAAAAUAAAAAUGUAUGCUGAGUUCUCUUACUUGAAGAAAAUCUAUUCACAUUGCUUGAGCAUCUUCAACUGAUAAUAACAUAUAAUGAAUGUAUACCAAAUCAUAUUCAGCUUGUGAUAAAAUACAUGCAGUCUAAAAAAAAAAAUAUUCUGACAUUAUAGGAAUGUUUUGGUUACUCUGCCUGUCCAGCAGGUUACAAUCAGGAAACUGAUCUUUCUUGAGAGGAUGACCCAGUCCCACUGCUACUACUGCUAGCAAAUCCCAUCUACGUAAAUUCAUCAAAGUUAGUUCACAUUAUAUUUAGUACAAGAGAAAUGGUUUACAACAUCACAGUCAUAUUAAGUGCCUCAGCUAAGGGUUUGCAUUUUAAGUGCACAACAGAAGUUCCCUAUAAUAAGAGCAAAAGUUAAACACUCCUGCUUUGGAAGUUUACCUCAUUCUCCAGUAACAAAGUACUAUUUAACUACAAAUACACAUCUUUAAAUUUCUUUAAAAUCAUUCUUUUGUUCAAAUAAAAGUCUCGGUAUUUCAUGUAAAGGACUUUCUACUAGAUACCAAAUAUCAUCUUCAUAUUUUAGUUCUAUGCUUAUAUCAAAUGUCUUUACUUGAUAGGUUUAGGAUACUUUUGCUUCUACACACUCCUGAAGAAACUCUCUUACACAGGAGGUUUUACAACGCUUUGUUUUAAUAUUUUACCACUGUCGAAGUUAGACAGGGAGAUACCAGACACUGCUGCAGCUUCACCCUGGACAGCUUCGUUAGAUUGACUGGUGCUUUGUCAUAAAGUAUUACCAUUCAGUGGGUCUGUAUUCUGUGUUUCUUGCUGGGCAUCGGUGAGAUCUUUCUGGUUCGGAUCAGAGUUAGUGCAUUUUUCUGAGUUGGAUUCAUCACUCAGAGAAGUGUUGGAAGUGACUACUUGUAGGACGAUGGGUCUGGGAGGACAGGCUGUACCACCGCUUCCCUGACUACUCUCAUUUUGUCUGCUUCUUGUCUCUUCCUGUAACUGUGCAUCUGUGGAAUUUCUGCUCUGGUCUUUUUCCUGUUCAUCAACAUUUUUCACAAGUUCUUCUUCUACUGCUAAUUCCUUCCAUCUUUCUUUGUUUGCUUGAAU
RNAcentral lists this long non-coding RNA (2192 nucleotides) under Gallus gallus (chicken). Lineage: Eukaryota; Metazoa; Chordata; Aves; Galliformes; Phasianidae. The record is from RNAcentral.